GGGGAUCUAGCUUAGUGGCACAGUGCCUGCCUGACAAGCAUGAGUUCAUAUUUGAUUCCCA
This 61-nucleotide transfer RNA is filed under the name Cavia porcellus (domestic guinea pig). It matches the Rfam family "tRNA". Rfam says of the family: Transfer RNA (tRNA) molecules are approximately 80 nucleotides in length. Their secondary structure includes four short double-helical elements and three loops (D, anti-codon, and T loops). Further hydrogen bonds mediate the characteristic L-shaped molecular structure. tRNAs have two regions of fundamental functional importance: the anti-codon, which is responsible for specific mRNA codon recognition, and the 3' end, to which the tRNAs corresponding amino acid is attached (by aminoacyl-tRNA synthetases). tRNAs cope with the degeneracy of the genetic code in two manners: having more than one tRNA (with a specific anti-codon) for a particular amino acid; and 'wobble' base-pairing, i.e. permitting non-standard base-pairing at the 3rd anti-codon position. Lineage: Eukaryota; Metazoa; Chordata; Mammalia; Rodentia; Caviidae. The record is from Rfam by way of RNAcentral.